CUCGGCAUACUGCUCAGUAACACGCGGAUAACCUGCCCUUGGGUUCGGGAUAACCCCGGGAAACUGGGACUAAUACCGGAUAGAUCAAAGAAACUGGAAUGUUCUCUGGUCAAAAACUCUGGUGCCCAAGGAUGGGUCUGCGGCCUAUCAGGUAGUAGUGGGUGUAACGUACCUACUAGCCUACGACGGGUAAGGGUUGUGAGAGCAAGAGCCCUGAGAUGGAUUCUGAGACAUGAAUCCAGGCCCUACGGGGUGCAGCAGGCGCGAAAACUUUACACUGCGGGAAACCGCGAUAAGGGGACCCCGAGUGCCAGCACCUAGUGCUGGCUGUCCAGCUGUCCAAAUAACAGUUGUUAGCAAGGGCCGGGCAAGACCGGUGCCAGCCGCCGCGGUAACACCGGCGGCCCGAGUGGUAGCCGUUAUUAUUGGGUUUAAAGGGUCCGUAGCCGGCCUAUUAAGUCUCUUGGGAAAUCUGGCGACUCAAUCGUCAGGCGUCCAAGAGAUACUGGUAGGCUUGGGACCGGGAGAGGUGGGAGGUACUCCAGGGGUAGGGGUGAAAUCUCGUAAUCCUUGGGGGACCACCGAUGGCGAAGGCAUCCCACCAGAACGGGUCCGACGGUGAGGGACGAAAGCUGGGGGCACGAACCGGAUUAGAUACCCGGGUAGUCCCAGCCGUAAACGAUGCUCGCUAGGUGUCAGGUGCGGUGCGACCGCAUCUGGUGCCGCAGUGAAAACUUGAAGCGAGUCACCUGGGAAGUAC
This 760-nucleotide ribosomal RNA is filed under the name uncultured archaeon. RNAcentral describes it as "bacterial SSU rRNA". It matches the Rfam family "Archaeal small subunit ribosomal RNA", at positions 77 to 838 of the family's 1478-position model. The record is from RNAcentral.